This 64-nucleotide transfer RNA is filed under the name Hemigyrus spinosus spinosus. RNAcentral describes it as "tRNA-Arg". Lineage: Eukaryota; Metazoa; Arthropoda; Insecta; Orthoptera; Tettigoniidae. The record is from RNAcentral.
UAAUAAGAAGCAAUAAUGCAUUCAGUUUCGACCUGACCUUAGAUGAACACAUCAUCCUUAUUAU